Molecule: non-coding RNA, 72 nt
Organism: Potamilus streckersoni
Lineage: Eukaryota; Metazoa; Mollusca; Bivalvia; Unionida; Unionidae
Source: the annotation of a GenBank genome assembly
GGUGGCCUAGUGGUUAUAGUGUCCUCCUUGGAUGUGGGAGGUCGUAUGUUCGUUUCAUACCAAAAAUUUACA